This 268-nucleotide ribosomal RNA is filed under the name uncultured bacterium. RNAcentral's name for it is "partial 16S ribosomal RNA". It matches the Rfam family "Bacterial small subunit ribosomal RNA", at positions 793 to 1055 of the family's 1533-position model. The record is from RNAcentral.
GUCCUAGCCCUAAACGAUGGAUACUUGCUGUGAGGGGGAUUGAAGCCCCUUGUGGCGAAGCUAACGCAUUAAGUAUCCCGCCUGGGGGAGUACGGUCGCAAGGCUGAAAACUCAAAAGGAAUUGACGGGGGCCCGCACAAGCGGUGGAGUAUGUGGUUUAAUUCGACGCAACGCGAAGAACCUUACCUGGGCUCGAACGGCUAGUGACAGGAGAUGAAAGUUUCUUUUCCCGCAAGGGACACUAGUCGAGGUGCUGCAUGGCUGUCGU